GUAAUAUAUAACUUUAAUAUUAUUGCUACAGUUGUUAAUAAUAAAAUCACCUAUAUUUAACUUUACAAAUCUUAUUUUAAGAUAUACACAUUAAAAGCAUAUCCAGUUUUACUGUUCACAGAGCAAACUUUUAUUAUAUAUCUAAAUCAAUUGGUUUAUCUUUAACUAAAAUGUUCCAAGUUAUAUGUUAAAAUUGCUGGUGUGGGCUUAAAAAUGACCUUUGAAUCUUUUUAAACAGAGAAUUGCUAAAUAAUCUCUUCUCUUUUUCUCCAGCCCUUUGCUAAGAGGUUUCAAAGUUUUUAUCUCUUUAUUGGAGUUCUACAUCCAGAGCAGCUUUAAAAAAAUCCAUGUUGGCAUGGAGCAAGAUCCUUGAAGGACAAUGAGGGAAGUAUUGGGAGUCAAUGGGAACCAGUAAUUUAAAGUGUCAGAAGAUGAAAAAGAAGGUGA
Molecule: long non-coding RNA, 447 nt
Filed under: Monodelphis domestica (gray short-tailed opossum)
Lineage: Eukaryota; Metazoa; Chordata; Mammalia; Didelphimorphia; Didelphidae
Description: lncRNA (ENSMODG00000048787.1)
Source: RNAcentral